UGAACAGUGCGUGGCUCAGCCAGAAC
Molecule: non-coding RNA, 26 nt
Filed under: Homo sapiens (human)
Lineage: Eukaryota; Metazoa; Chordata; Mammalia; Primates; Hominidae
Source: RNAcentral